This is a long non-coding RNA of Cydia strobilella, 1748 nucleotides long. RefSeq lists it as uncharacterized. The transcript has 3 exons. The record is from RefSeq and is a predicted model, not a curated record. Lineage: Eukaryota; Metazoa; Arthropoda; Insecta; Lepidoptera; Tortricidae.
AGUAGUACGCUAGUAACUUGUGUGUCUGUCCCGGUCCGCGUCCCUGUCCCGCUAUACGCCGCACAAGACGCUGUCGGACGCGUUCCAGCUCGGCGUCACGAGGCAUGAACGGGAGCAAGAGCACACAGUGAGCACAGAGGUCCGUACGGAGUCCAUAGAGUCGGAGGACGCGCGGCCGUGCGCCGCAGACUGCGCGCGCACGUGGAGCGAGUCGCGCACACACGCCACCGACCUGCUGUUCUAGUGAAAUCGCAGACUCAAGCCAGCAAAAAAGCGGUGAAUAAAAAAAACAAUAAACAUUCCUAUUGUUGGAACUGACAAGCAUAUUGUCGAUAAUUUUUAUACAAUUUUGACGCAAGUCUGAACAUAUGUACUUUAUGUUAAACUUUUAAUGUACUUAAAACUUGACCAGUAAUAUAUGAUCAUUGUCAAGAGGGCGCUGUUAUGCUCAUGUAUAGAGUGACAGUUCAGUUUAGUAUGAAAAUACUAGUUCCAGUGAAAUUCCGCAACAUGGCGCGUAAUCAUAUAUUCCUGGUCAGGCUUUACAUUUAUAUUAUAUCCAAUGUAUGAGCUGACAAGCAAUUAUUGACCUUAUUGUAUAUAUGUUAUGAUAUAUAAUCGCUAGCCUUUUAAUUUAUAAUGUACUUAUAUGCUGUGAAUUUAUAUUGAUUUGAAUCGCCUAUACUUUGUUUCAUACAAAUUUUGUUUGAAAAUAGAUAAUGUAAUAAUCCUCUUAAUUUUCUACCUAAACACAAAAAUAGUUUUUUUAUAACAUGUGACACUUUUUUGACAUAUAAUUCGAGCAUUAAUAUGCAUUUCAUCCUCGACUUAUAUAAGUCCUCGUUUGCGGCUAUACAAAUUUGCUUCGGGUAAAAUGGAUAGUAUUAUCACAGGGCGGACACGCUAUACAUCAAAAAUCGCUUGCGUUUAUAUGUGUGAACGGCACGUCUGUACACGCGUCAUGCGUCAUUGUGUAAGUUGCUUGAAAACAGUACUGAGCGGCCGGCGAACGGCCGUCAAUCUGCUGUCGCGGGGCGAGGUCAUUCGAGUCGGGGCGGGGCGGUGCGUGGCCGUUCUGUAUGAUAAUAUUAUUACUUAUUCUGUGGUAUUAUGCUCUCUUUAUACAAUCUAAGGUACCUGCACCGAAGCCAUCGUUAUUUUUAUUUUUCUAAUGUUUAAUAUGAACUUGUAGUUUUAUUAUUGACGCAAAAAUAAAACCAUAAUUUUAAAGUAUGAAAUUUUGAUAAUAGGCCAGCAUAAGAACCGGGCCUUUGGCGCAGGUUACUAUUAACCUUUUGGACGCCAAUGACCAAUAUAUACGCACCGUAGGUUCACAAAGACCGAUUAAUCGGUCAUAUACUACAGAGCAACAUAGACCUACGUGCAUAUGCAUAAAGUUCAAUUUUAGUUUGGAUGACUGGUUUUGUGGUUUUGUGUUUGUCACGGCGUCGAAAAGGUUAAAAGAGGACACCCAAAAGUUGAAUGCUUGAAUACAUUUUACAACCAAAAUGUACCACAUUGUCGCCUGUCAAUAAGGUUGAUUUCAAAUUGAAGCUAUAUGGAAAUAGCGCCUUAUUGACAACCGACAAUAAGUACCCUUUUGAUUGAGAACGGCACACAUUGUGUUUAGGUAGAAAAUAAAAUGUUUAUUAUAUAUAAUUUUAAACGAAAUGUCCAUAUUGACGAAACUACUAUUAAAGCGGAAUAUAAUUUUUUUGGCUGGGAAGACAGUCAUAGGCUCGGCUCGA